This 286-nucleotide unclassified non-coding RNA is filed under the name Hevea brasiliensis (rubber tree). Lineage: Eukaryota; Viridiplantae; Streptophyta; Magnoliopsida; Malpighiales; Euphorbiaceae. The record is from RNAcentral.
AAUCAAUGGAACGGAAGAUCUGUACAUGCCAAUUUUCUGAAUGAUCUUCCCCAUAUACAUGUAGUUUAGGAUCAUCCUCUGGGAUUGCAGUACUAUCCUUUAAAACAGCAAAAGCAGGGCUGAGUAUCCAUGAGAUACGCUCAAUUUUUAGCAUAGCAUCAUCAUGCCAAUGAGACAUUGUUUUCUUAAAGAACUUGAAUUCCCUCCACUUUGUCGCUUUCCUCCAUCGUUGAGCAAAAUUUAUAAGCACAUCAUAUACAGCAGGUCCAUCAAUUCUGCAAUGCAA